GUGAAAAGUUAUGAAAUAAGAUAAAAGCUCAGUGUUUCAAACAUAAGAAACAGCAUACACAAUACUGGACAUCACAGGACCCUCUCCGGCUGGAUACCAGGCUGUAGAACCACCAGAUGCUUCAGAUGAGAAAGGUUGGAUCUGUUUCACAGGGAAGGGGCUAAACUGUUUCAAGAGGCGACCACGCGCUGGGCACUCUGUACUUUGCAACCUACCAAGUAUCAUCACAAGAGCUAUGAAAGUGAAGAGAGACAUACGUUAUCUAAGAAUCUGAGAGAGAUGACUCAGUCAGCAUCCUCUCUCUUGGUGUACAAUGGUAGGGACAGCUACUGUGUCAUCUGGAGCAUGACAAUGAGAACACAGACACUGGAUCGUCCUGAUAUAGCCUGCAGUCCAUCUGGGCCUCUAGACAUUCAUUUGCAUUUGCAUUCAUGCGCAUCCCCUACUACUCCAACUCCUACACCUUUUGGCAGGAUAUAUCCACACAGCUGGAUUGGAAUCACAAGAUGUUUUUAUUUUUUGCCUCAUUAAACUAGUUUCUCUCAAGCAAUGUGUGUUUUCUUUAUAUUCCAG
This 573-nucleotide long non-coding RNA is filed under the name Homo sapiens (human). Its description in RNAcentral is "HSALNT0064833". Lineage: Eukaryota; Metazoa; Chordata; Mammalia; Primates; Hominidae. The record is from RNAcentral.